Carassius carassius (crucian carp) is the source of this 748-nucleotide long non-coding RNA. RefSeq lists it as uncharacterized. Lineage: Eukaryota; Metazoa; Chordata; Actinopteri; Cypriniformes; Cyprinidae. The transcript has 3 exons. The record is from RefSeq and is a predicted model, not a curated record.
CUUCUGUUUCAUGACAGUUUAAAUCACCCUUCUAUAAUUAAAGACUGUUAUUGAAGCUUAUAGGGAUUAUUGAUAGACUCACUGAUGGGGUGAACAGGUGACACAGAUAAGGUUCAGAACUAUAGAUAUAAUACAUUUAUCAAUAUAUUUCUUUGUAUUUUUGUAGAUUUCCUAAAAUUUCACAUUUACAUGCUUUUUUUUCUCCUUACAGAUAAGUUCUGUGAGCGGCUAAAACCAAGGUCAACAUGAAAGGUCAUAGUUAACGGCCACAUCACCAUCUUCUACGACGCUCUGAAGCUGAUGUUUGCUUCAUACUACUGCUUGAACAUUUCAUACCCAGGAAACCAAGGAGAAACGCAAGAGAUUGUGCAAAGAUGCCUUUUUAAGAUGAACCCCGAGAAGGGACCGGAAGUGGAUAAGACCACAUCGAGAAAGAAAUCGUCAGUCAGUCCAAAGGUUCUUAUACUGAUUAACAAGAUUGCGGACUAUGAAAGGAUGGAGUAAAACUUUGAGUGUCAGAUCUUCCUACAUUGCCUGACAGAAAUUCUUGACAGUGUCACAGACUUAAAAUACUUGCUGAUUAUUUGCUUUCAUGGUUGAAUUAUUUUUUUUCAUGCAUCAUCUGUUGUCAAGAUUAAUUAAUCUGUUCACAGGUGGUUCAGUUUUAAGGACAAUUUAAUUAUUAAUUUUUAUUUGUUUACCAAACUGCUAUAUUGUUGCAGUUUUGAAAAAUUAUUUUAUUGUGUGU